AUGACCUUUCUGCGCUACUCCUAUGGUCAGCUCAUCUUCUAUGACAACAAUGGGUUCCAUAUUGUUAAUCCAUUCAGUGGCGCUAAGCUUGGCCCUCCUUCCCUACAGUCAAUUCACUUCACUUGCAUCAGCUAUGUCACCUUAACUGCCCCUGUUGCAUCCGCUGAUUCGCAUCUCCUUGUCGGUGCUGGAGCCUAUCUGUUCCUGUGGCGCAUCGGGAGCGACUCUUGGACAAAACACAGCCCUAAAGUUGGUCGUUUUUCGAUUGAACAAAAUGUGACCUUCAAGGGCAAGACAUAUGCCCUAGGGUCUUUCGGGUGGUUCUACAUCAUUCACUUGUCACCCAGUCUCAUUGUUGAGAAGUUUAAAGUUGUGUUCGAGGAAGAUAAAACCGAAGAUCUCUAUUCGGCAAAUGAAAAAGCAUGGCUAGUGGUGUGUGGUGACACGCUUCUCUUGAUCAAACUUGUGGAGGCGGGAAGACGGAUGCGCUCGGAGGCCUUCCAGUUCAUGCCCUUCAAGCUUGAGUCAUUGGACACCAUGACCAAGAAGGCAAGGUGGGUGAAACUCUUCAACACUGGAAGACGUUACCUGAAAUUGGAGUCAACCUGGGUCUUCCCCGCGCGUUUCCUUGUUACGUCCUGCGAUGAUCUUACGGCCGUGAGUGCGGUUGAUGAUUAG
Molecule: ribosomal RNA, 678 nt
Filed under: Triticum aestivum (bread wheat)
Lineage: Eukaryota; Viridiplantae; Streptophyta; Magnoliopsida; Poales; Poaceae
Description: partial small subunit ribosomal RNA
Source: RNAcentral